RNAcentral lists this long non-coding RNA (211 nucleotides) under Mytilus galloprovincialis (Mediterranean mussel). The record is from RNAcentral. Lineage: Eukaryota; Metazoa; Mollusca; Bivalvia; Mytilida; Mytilidae.
AGAAUGGAAAUGGGGAUGUCUACAACCGGACGUCCAUUGGAGCAUCAGGAAAUUGACGACAGUAAACAUCAAAAUAUACAAUGUAGCAUUUGUGUGUUUCACGCACAUUUACGAGAUCCAAUAUUUUCUGUUAUGACAAAUAUGGACGAAGGGAAAUGAGAAGUGAUAUAGAGGUAUAGGUCACGUAGAACAUUCAAUUUGUAAAUACAAA